CUAAGGAGGUAGAUAAGAUGGUCUGGUAUUCUCAUCUCUUUAAGAAUUUCCCAGCUUGUUGUGAUCAAUACAGUCAAAGGCCUUGGCAUAGUCAAUGAAGUAUAAGUGGUUGUUCUGUAACUCUCUUGCUUUUUCUAUUAUCCAAUGGAUGUUGGCAAUUGGAUCUCUGGUUCCUCUGCCUUUUGUAAAUCCAGCUGAAACAUCUGGAAUUUCUCAGUUCAUGUACUGUUGAAGUCUAGCUUGGAGAAUUUUCAGCAUUACUUUGCUAGUGUGUAAGAUGUCUUUAUUUUACUGUGUCCAAAAGUCCGUUAUACACAUCUGUGUCUUUUUUCCUGUCUUGCAUACAGGGUCGUCAUUGCCAUCUUCCUAAAUUCCAUAUAUAUGUGUUAGUAUACUGUAUUGGUGUUUUUCUUUCUGGCUUACUUCACUCUGUAUAAUCGGCUCCAGUUUCAUCCAUCUCAUCAGGACUGAUUCAAAUGAAUUCUUUUUAACUGCUGAGUAAUACUCCAUUGUGUAUAUGUACCACAGCUUUCUUAUCCAUUCAUCUGCUGAUGGACAUCUAGGUUGUUUCCAUGUCCUGGCUAUUAUAAACAGUGCUGCGAUGAACAUUGGGGUACAUGUGUCUCUUUCAGUUCUGGUUUCCUCGGUGUGUAUGCCCAGCAGUGGGAUUGCUGGGUCAUAAGGUAGUUCUAUUUGCAAUUUUUUAAGGAAUCUCCACACUGUUCUCCAUAGUGGCUGUACUAGUUUGCAUUCCCACCAACAGUGUAGGAGGGGUCCCUUUUCUCCACAGCCUCUCCAGCAUUUAUUGCUUGCAGAUUUUUGGAUCGCAGCCAUUCUGACUGGUGUGAAGUGGUACCUCAUUGUGGUUUUGAUUUGCAUUUCUCUAAUAAUGAGUGAUGUUGAGCAUCUUUUCAUGUGUUUGUUAGCCAUCCGUAUGUCUUCUUUGGAGAAAUGUCUAUUUAGUUCUUUGGCCCAUUUUUUGAUUGGGUUGUUUAUUUUUCUGGAAUUGAGCUGCAUAAGUUGCUUGUAUAUUUUUGAGAUUAGUUGUUUGUCAUUUGCUAUUAUUUUCUCCCAUUCAGAAGGCUGUCUUUUCACCUUGCUUAUAUUUUCCUUUGUUGUGCAGAAGCUUUUAAUUUUAAUUAGAUCCCAUUUGUU
Molecule: long non-coding RNA, 1155 nt
Filed under: Ovis aries (sheep)
Lineage: Eukaryota; Metazoa; Chordata; Mammalia; Artiodactyla; Bovidae
Description: lncRNA (ENSOARG00000026270.1)
Source: RNAcentral